Molecule: long non-coding RNA, 968 nt
Organism: Helianthus annuus (common sunflower)
Lineage: Eukaryota; Viridiplantae; Streptophyta; Magnoliopsida; Asterales; Asteraceae
Exons: 3
Source: RefSeq, a predicted model, not a curated record
GAUCCAAUUUUCUCUCUAACCUUCACCAGAAUCGAAGAAAAAAUUGUUCGCCGGAUCCUUUUAUCACCGGAAAACUCUGUUCCUCGUCUCCUAGUUUUUCUGAUCAACAGGUGAAGUUCGCUGGAUCGAUUCUCAGAUCCGAAUCGAACAAACAGAGAGAGAGAGGAAGAGUCUAUAGAGAGAGAAUCAGAGAGUGAGAGGGAAGAAAACAGAGAAGGGGUAGCGAUGUCGGCAGCGGCGGCGGGUCUCGACGGCGAACGGUAGGCGACGACAAGUGGUGAAAGUGGAAGUGGUUAUGUUUGGUUGGUUCGUAUACAUAUUCUGUUUUGGUUCGAUUCGGGCAACCCCAAUCAUCUCAGAUUUAGUUCGGGUGUGAUUCGGGUCCGGCGUGAUUUUCGGAGGCAACCUACACCCAUUCACCUCAUGAGUCCCCGGUUAGUAUAUGUCCAUCGAUUUGUCUUGCAAUCUUGUAAUUUUUGGUUAGUUGUUUUGUACACGGUGCGGAUUGUAUUAUCUAGUCCUAUGCUUUCAUUUUGGCUGGUCUUGUUUUUAGUCUGAUAGUUGUUGUUUGUUUUUAGAAUACAUUGGAUUGACUCAGGUAGUUGUAAAUGGUUUGGUGUAUAUGAGAAUUGAAGGAAUGUGCAGCUUCAAGGAUUCGGGUUCGCGACAGGAGGAUGGGUUUUAGUGGCACAGCUUCGAUUCGGAUUCCGAUUUGUUUGGUUUGUUUCGGCUUGUGCGGUUCAGUCUCUGUUCAGUUCAGAUCUAGGGGUUUGCGAGUGGAAAUGGUGACGCCACUUGAGGGGUUUCUGACUGACGAACAGAGGGAGGUGUUGAAAACGGUAACUGGGAGCUGGUAGGUUUUGUCGUCGUCGCCCAAGUCACCGUUGUGGUUGAUUUCUGAACAUGAAAUUCAGGAGACGUCGUAAACGAGGAAAGUGGAGAUGGAAGGUCGAUAAGGAUGAUUCACG